CGAGCGAACAGAUAAGGAGCUUGCUCCUUUGACGUUAGCGGCGGACGGGUGAGUAACACGUGGAUAACCUACCUAUAAGACUGGGAUAACUUCGGGAAACCGGAGCUAAUACCGGAUAAGAUUUUGAACCGCAUGGUUCAAUAGUGAAAGACGGCCUUGCUGUCACUUAUAGAUGGAUCCGCGCCGUAUUAGCUAGUUGGUAAGGUAACGGCUUACCAAGGCAACGAUACGUAGCCGACCUGAGAGGGUGAUCGGCCACACUGGAACUGAGACACGGUCCAGACUCCUACGGGAGGCAGCAGUAGGGAAUCUUCCGCAAUGGGCGAAAGCCUGACGGAGCAACGCCGCGUGAGUGAUGAAGGUCUUCGGAUCGUAAAACUCUGUUAUCAGGGAAGAACAAACGUGUAAGUAACUGUGCACGUCUUGACGGUACCUGAUCAGAAAGCCACGGCUAACUACGUGCCAGCAGCCGCGGUAAUACGUAGGUGGCAAGCGUUAUCCGGAAUUAUUGGGCGUAAAGCGCGCGUAGGCGGUUUUUUAAGUCUGAUGUGAAAGCCCACGGCUCAACCGUGGAGGGUCAUUGGAAACUGGAAAACUUGAGUGCAGAAGAGGAAAGUGGAAUUCCAUGUGUAGCGGUGAAAUGCGCAGAGAUAUGGAGGAACACCAGUGGCGAAGGCGACUUUCUGGUCUGUAACUGACGCUGAUGUGCGAAAGCGUGGGGAUCAAACAGGAUUAGAUACCCUGG
This 745-nucleotide ribosomal RNA is filed under the name bacterium Pv98. Its description in RNAcentral is "bacterial SSU rRNA". It matches the Rfam family "Bacterial small subunit ribosomal RNA", at positions 63 to 790 of the family's 1533-position model. The record is from RNAcentral.